This is a long non-coding RNA of Vitis riparia (riverbank grape), 399 nucleotides long. RefSeq lists it as uncharacterized. The transcript is spliced from 2 exons. Lineage: Eukaryota; Viridiplantae; Streptophyta; Magnoliopsida; Vitales; Vitaceae. The record is from RefSeq and is a predicted model, not a curated record.
CAGGUUCAGUGAUUAGGAGCAAUUCUUCAGAGCUUCCCAAACAAGGGUCCUGAAUUUGCUGUGAUUGUCAAUUCUGUAACAUCCAAGAAAGUUGCUGCUUUGAUCACUCUCACUGGUUUUCGCACUGAAAGAAAAUAAAGGGCCGAGAGGAGUUUCUUCAGCUUCAAGCAUAAUGCAACCAAGCUAUGAGCCAGCUAGGUAUGUUGGGAUUUUGAUCAUUUUCCAGUUUUUUUUGCCUCCCAGAAGGAUUUAUUCAUUUUGAAUGAGUUCAAAACUUCUUGUGGUGGAAACCAGACCAGUUUAAGUCAUUUUAAUGGCACAGUGCAUUUUCUAGAUUAAGGAGCCUGUGGUGAAGAAUUUGAAAUUCAUAAUCUUGUAUUAAUGUUAAGCUUUUAAUUA